Molecule: long non-coding RNA, 776 nt
Filed under: Homo sapiens (human)
Lineage: Eukaryota; Metazoa; Chordata; Mammalia; Primates; Hominidae
Description: non-protein coding RGMB-AS1:2
Source: RNAcentral
GCAGGACCCAGAGGGCCCUCUCCCCCGCCCGCUCAGUGUAAUUCGAGUUCCCUGUCCAUCGACUCCAAGUCCUCUCUCCUGCGCCGCAUGCUGCCUCGCGCUCCCUUUCCUUCCCCCUCUACCCCCUUCCGCGAUUUACUGUUUCCUCGCGCCCAACAGAAAUGGGCGACCGCAAGUCUUACUCUCGCCGGCGUUACAAAGAAAGGAAGGAGGAGACCUGAACAGUACAUCCGGAGAAUCCAGCAAAGCAUACUACGGCAUGAACGUGCAAGUGGACAGAAUUAAAACACAUGCCAGAAACACUAAUGGAUUCUAAACAAGAUGCAGUUUCAUUUCCUGAGCCUAUACGUGAUGUUUUUAACUGUUCUCCAGUUAAUAUGUCUCCAUUUCCAGAAAUCUAACAGGAGAAUCUCUGACUGCUUAACAGAUCACCUAAGCUUGCGAUUUGUGCAAUCCUUUCUAGAGUAAGGGCUCCCCGGCUGCUCCCCGGCCACUGUGUACCCAAAGCAGCGGCUGAAAUAGCCCGGAGUCCAACAGCUCAGCGUCAAGCAGCUCGUGGCAAACGCAGCCGCCGGUCUUGACUGCCAUCGCCCAAGGGGUUCCUCUGGGCUCUCCCGCGAGCCAACAGCCGACCUCUCUCCAGCCUAGUCUGGGAAACUCCAGCCAACCCAGGAUCCCAUUUUGUAGUCCCGGGCAGACCCGAAACCCCUGAAAGAACUCCACUCCAGAAGACGCCAGAACAAGUUCCCACGAAUUUCAUGGGCGCCCUUCACAUG